GGACCUAGCGGCGGACGGGUGAGUAAUGCUUAGGAAUCUGCCUAUUAGUGGGGGACAACAUCUCGAAAGGGAUGCUAAUACCGCAUACGUCCUACGGGAGAAAGCAGGGGAUCUUCGGACCUUGCGCUAAUAGAUGAGCCUAAGUCGGAUUAGCUAGUUGGUGGGGUAAAGGCCUACCAAGGCGACGAUCUGUAGCGGGUCUGAGAGGAUGAUCCGCCACACUGGGACUGAGACACGGCCCAGACUCCUACGGGAGGCAGCAGUGGGGAAUAUUGGACAAUGGGGGGAACCCUGAUCCAGCCAUGCCGCGUGUGUGAAGAAGGCCUUAUGGUUGUAAAGCACUUUAAGCGAGGAGGAGGCUACUUUAGUUAAUACCUAGAGAUAGUGGACGUUACUCGCAGAAUAAGCACCGGCUAACUCUGUGCCAGCAGCCGCGGUAAUACAGAGGGUGCGAGCGUUAAUCGGAUUUACUGGGCGUAAAGCGUGCGUAGGCGGCUUAUUAAGUCGGAUGUGAAAUCCCCGAGCUUAACUUGGGAAUUGCAUUCGAUACUGGUGAGCUAGAGUAUGGGAGAGGAUGGUAGAAUUCCAGGUGUAGCGGUGAAAUGCGUAGAGAUCUGGAGGAAUACCGAUGGCGAAGGCAGCCAUCUGGCCUAAUACUGACGCUGAGGU
RNAcentral lists this ribosomal RNA (669 nucleotides) under Acinetobacter baumannii. RNAcentral describes it as "bacterial SSU rRNA". It matches the Rfam family "Bacterial small subunit ribosomal RNA", at positions 88 to 752 of the family's 1533-position model. Lineage: Bacteria; Pseudomonadati; Pseudomonadota; Gammaproteobacteria; Moraxellales; Moraxellaceae. The record is from RNAcentral.